CCCAAUCUCACGUGCAGUCCACCGGUUAAUCCAUAAUCUAACCCAUUUUUCAUUCCUAAUUCCCAGAAACCAUUCCAAACAAUACAUAGAUACAAUACACCACCAUACCCGACCCAUCAGUACAUGUAGUACUGCUCCAGCAGGCGUAGUAGUUGUGCAUUUUGUCUUUCGCUGCCAGAUGGAGCAAUCUCAGCGUCUUAUUCGUCCUUUGCUCAGAAAUUGGAUGGAUCUCCUUCGAAUUCCAUUAGGAACUACUACUAUAGACAACUUUCAACCUUAUCUCUUAGGAGCUUUUGAAUUUCGAAUUCAUUCCAUUCUUCCUUUUCGAGUACCCUCUCCCUAAAUUGAACCCUAGAUUUCCCAUCUAUAUAUACCUUUCUUCAUUUUCUAUGCUAGGGGUUGGAAAAGGAAAAACGGAAAAGAGAAAGUUACAGUAAAAUAGUUAUAGUAUAUACACGAAAUACAUUAGGAAAAGAGAAAGAAAAGUUAGUUUACGACCGAGUCUCAUUCCUCUAGCUUGGUCACCAUCGUUGGUCCAAGUUAGUUCGAGUUUUGUUGCUGUUUAGGUUGCUCUCUUGCUGUCCAUAUCGUGUCUGUGUGGUAGAAUCCGACUAUCUACUCGUCUCGUCCCCGUUUGCUGCCUGGAAAAUGGUAAUGUUUCCUCCAUAGUAACUUCUUCAUCUCUCAUGUUUUGAAUGGAUGUUUGCAAGAUUAUAAGAUCUUUGUUUUUGUUUGGAUGAUGUUGGUCGGGAUCGAGUUUUGAUGACUUCACUUGUUAUUUAUCUAUUCUUAAAGGAUAUCUCGAUCUAGUUUCAACAUAUGGUUAUCGGUCUGAGUUUGUCAUCUGCUUGUUUCCAUGUUCAAGUUUGCUAGUUCGUUAUGAUUUGUCUUGAAUAGUUUGUGAGUGUCAUGAACAUGUUCCUUUUGAAUUUAAUAUAGUCGAAUUCUGUCUGAACUUUGAUUAUGAGGUAAGUUCUUAUUCUAAUUUGUUUAGCUUGUAUUCAAUAUCUAGUUUUUGUUUGGCUCAUGUCGUCUUAAUUUCAUACCCAGUUCUCUUUUUGAGUUUAGUUGUUUAGAUUUUUGAAUGGUUUAAUGUAUGCGGGAUAGUAGUCGAUUGAUCUAGUAAUUGAUAACGAGGGUUUUUGAAUUAACUCGAUUUUGGUCUAAAGUUUCAAACCUGCAAUUUGGUUGAAGCUUUAUCGUGUAAAGUUAGUGUGAUAGCUAGUUAUGAUAUGAGGGCUCAUAUACUUAAUUAAGUUGUGGUUAUUUGAGUGUUAUCUUUAACGAAUGCUUCAGUUCGUUAAAUCAUAUCUAGAUCAGUGAGUCUCAUAUCAUUUUGAGGUAUAUGCUUCUUGAAUGACUUAUAUAUAUUUUUUUGGUUUGUUCUAGAAAUUUGUGUUUUAAUCGAAUUUCAUUCCUUUAGUUAUUAAGUAAGACUUCUUCGACGUGUUUCUUCUUAGUUUUCAUUAACUUAAUUAAUUAUAUAGCCUAAUUAUGUGAAGUUUCUGUUUAUUCAUUUAUGAUGGUGUCACUGACUAUUUAAAAUGUGAUUAGUUCUCCAUAUUAAAUUUGCUUAGUUCAAUACUUGUUGCUUUGUCUUGUCUAAGACUCUGCCUUUUUAUCGUUAGUCUUUCUUUUGCUUGCCAUUGUUAGUGUCAUUACUGGGAGUACUAAUCCUUAUCUUUUUAUUUUAUUGCAUGUGGAAAUCCACCCGAGUUCACAAUGAAAUCCUAUUUCCCUUCCUCGCAUUUUGAGAGAGUCACAAAUGUUCAAAUUCUACCUUUAUCAAGUCAGCCAACCAUGGAUCGAAGAUUAGAUCCCUGAAACUUAACGUACAUGUGUCCAUAGGUGAUACAUGAUUGUAUACACUAGUAUACAUCUAGUGUAUACGAGAAAGGGUAUUGGGCCUAGAGGCCCCUAAAUUUAGUUUUGUAAUUUGUUGUUGGGCCUAAGCCCAUUUUACUUGAAUUUUUAUCUUGUUAGUUAAGAACAUGAACAAGUGGUUGAAGUGGGAUAAGAAGCCCGAAUCAUGACUAGGCUUGACAACUGCUCAGGUGGACAGAAAAUCAAACGUGGGCCCAAAACACACACACACUCUCUCUUUAUUCUUAUUGUUUUGUAUUUACGCAAUUGUUUAUUUUCUAGUCAAUUUUAAAAUUUUCCUAAUUCAAUUUCCCCAAAAGAUAGUCAUUUAGAGAUUUUCUUAAAGACUAAAUGAAAUAAGUCCUUAUUUUUCUACUUAAACUACUUUGAAAUAAUUUUCUUUAAAUGAUCCCUUAUAUUAUCCCCAUUUCCUCUAAAAAAUAUCUUAAUUUUUUUUAUUUUCUCAACUUAAUUAAUCAUACUUAUCUAUAAAAAAAUGAUUAGCCAAAUAGUUAACUAUUGGAUGACCGCAUGUUAGCGGAUAUUCUAGGUGCUUUAAAAACCUUUCUAGAACAUUAAUAUGAACCUCAAACCCCUUUUUUUAUAGUUUCA
This 2475-nucleotide long non-coding RNA is filed under the name Solanum lycopersicum (tomato). RNAcentral describes it as "partial TCONS_00197082". Lineage: Eukaryota; Viridiplantae; Streptophyta; Magnoliopsida; Solanales; Solanaceae. The record is from RNAcentral.